CUUCGAUCGAGUAAACAUACGGUUGGCUGUGGGCAUAUACCUGAAACACAAAGCUGAUGGCUCUAUCGAGAGGACUCGUCUUGUGGCAAAAGUUGCAGCAUAGAUCUUGGAGACAACAUUAGCUCGAUGUCAAAAAGGCCUUUCUUCAUGGAGACCUACACGAAUUGGUUUCUGUCCGUCCUCCAUCUGGGUUUCGAGCUCAAGGGGAGAAAGGGAAAGUUUGAAGGUGAAAAAAGACGAUAUCUUAACGUGAAGUCAUUGCAGAUUCAGGGAUUUCCAUGCCAUGGAUUCUUAUCAUCUACAGAAAGUUCUUCAGCCUUCAACGUGCUUCAAGUUUCAAGUCAAGGCAGGUUAUGGUAAGCAGCCAAAUAAUGGGAAACUCAACCAUCUAGAUGAGCAACUAAUCUGGGUCAGCCUUGAUGCACAUGUCCAACAGGAAGUGUAGGCCCUCUUUUUUUAUGGGAUUCUGUCGCAUGAUCUGCUGCAAAACGAAAAACACCUUGAAUUCUUGCACUCACCAUUACUUCUUGAAUUCUUGCACUCACCAUUACUUUUAUAAUUCUCGACCUUUAAAUGCCCUAAUAAAUAGGCACAAGUCAUUGAUUCUAAUCCGAGAAAGGUGCUAUAUUUUCUAC
This is a non-coding RNA of Cucurbita pepo subsp. pepo (vegetable marrow), 635 nucleotides long. The record is from RefSeq and is a predicted model, not a curated record. NCBI's taxonomy places the organism in Eukaryota, Viridiplantae, Streptophyta, Magnoliopsida, Cucurbitales, Cucurbitaceae.